AAGACCCUGGGAAAGCCCCUGAAACCAAACAAGGGACUAUAAAAGUUGCAGCACAAGCAGCAGCUAAAAAGGAUGAAAAGAAGGAAGAUUCCAAGAAAACAAAAACAUCUGCACAAGGUAUUGGAAAUGUUUUCUGAUUCUGUCUUAUAUUUGA
Long non-coding RNA from Pipistrellus kuhlii (Kuhl's pipistrelle), 154 nucleotides. RefSeq lists it as uncharacterized. The record is from RefSeq and is a predicted model, not a curated record. The transcript is spliced from 3 exons. NCBI's taxonomy places the organism in Eukaryota, Metazoa, Chordata, Mammalia, Chiroptera, Vespertilionidae.